GUAACGCGUGGGUAACCUGCCCUGUACAGGGGGAGUAACAGUCAGAAAUGACUGCUAAUACCGCAUAAGACCACAGCACCGCAUGGUGCAGGGGUAAAAACUACCGGUGGUACAGGAUGGACCCGCGUCUGAUUAGCUGGUUGGUGAGGUAACGGCUCACCAAGGCGACGAUCAGUAGCCGGCUUGAGAGAGUGAACGGCCACAUUGGGACUGAGACACGGCCCAAACUCCUACGGGAGGCAGCAUG
Molecule: ribosomal RNA, 247 nt
Filed under: uncultured bacterium
Lineage: Bacteria
Description: partial 16S ribosomal RNA
Rfam family: Bacterial small subunit ribosomal RNA
Source: RNAcentral